AGGAUGAACGCUGGCGGUCUGCUUAACACAUGCAAGUCGAACGGGCGUAGCAAUACGUUAGUGGCGGACGGGUGAGUAACGCGUGAGAAUCUACCUUCAGGACGGAGACAACAGUUGGAAACGACUGCUAACCCCCGAUGUACCGAAAGGGCAAAUAUUUAUAGCCUGAAGAAGAGCUCGCGUCCGAUUAGCUAGUUGGAGAGGUAAAAGCUCACCAAGGCGACGAUCGGUAGCUGGUCUGAGAGGAUGAUCAGCCACACUGGGACUGAGACACGGCCCAGACUCCUACGGGAGGCAGCAGUAGGGAAUCUUGCGCAAUGGGCGAAAGCCUGACGCAGCCAUGCCGCGUGAAUGAUGAAGGUCUAGGAUUGUAAAAUUCUUUCAGCGGGGACGAUAAUGACGGUACCCGCAGAAGAAGCCCCGGCUAACUUCGCGCCAGCAGCCGC
RNAcentral lists this ribosomal RNA (446 nucleotides) under uncultured bacterium. Its description in RNAcentral is "SSU rRNA". It matches the Rfam family "Bacterial small subunit ribosomal RNA", at positions 26 to 518 of the family's 1533-position model. The record is from RNAcentral.